This 238-nucleotide ribosomal RNA is filed under the name uncultured bacterium. Its description in RNAcentral is "partial 16S ribosomal RNA". It matches the Rfam family "Bacterial small subunit ribosomal RNA", at positions 524 to 761 of the family's 1533-position model. The record is from RNAcentral.
UACGUAGGGGGCGAGCGUUAUCCGGAUUUACUGGGCGUAAAGCGCGUUAAGGCGGUCGGCAAAGUUGGUUGUGAAAUCUCAGGGCUCAACCCUGAAAUUGCGACCAAUACUGGUCGACUAGAGUGCAAGAGAGGAAGGUGGAAUUCCCGGUGUAGUAGUGAAAUGCGUAGAUAUCGGGAGGAACACCAGUGGCGAAGGCGGCCUUCUGGCUUGUAACUGACGCUGUAGCGCGAAAGCG